UUGAACGCUGGCGGCAGGCCUAACACAUGCAAGUCGAACGGUAACAGGAAGCAGCUUGCUGCUUCGCUGACGAGUGGCGGACGGGUGAGUAAUGUCUGGGAAGCUGCCUGAUGGAGGGGGAUAACUACUGGAAACGGUAGCUAAUACCGCAUAAUGUCGCAAGACCAAAGAGGGGGACCUUCGGGCCUCUUGCCAUCGGAUGUGCCCAGAUGGGAUUAGCUUGUUGGUGGGGUAACGGCUCACCAAGGCGACGAUCCCUAGCUGGUCUGAGAGGAUGACCAGCCACACUGGAACUGAGACACGGUCCAGACUCCUACGGGAGGCAGCAGUGGGGAAUAUUGCACAAAGGGCGCAAGCCUGAUGCAGCCAUGCCGCGUGUAUGAAGAAGGCCUUCGGGUCGUAAAGUACUUUCAGCGGGGAGGAAGGGAGUAAAGUUAAUACCUUUGCUCAUUGACGUUACCCGCAGAAGAAGCACCGGCUAACUCCGUG
Molecule: ribosomal RNA, 489 nt
Filed under: uncultured bacterium
Lineage: Bacteria
Description: partial 16S ribosomal RNA
Rfam family: Bacterial small subunit ribosomal RNA
Source: RNAcentral